GGUUAACAACCAGAAGUCAAGGUGAUUCGCUAGGCUGCAGCCGAAAAUAUUUUGUAAAUCUUGUUUCUGAAUAAAAAUGGAUCUACACGACAACAUACAGUCACUUAAACACAGGUUGGUGCAAUACAGUACGAUUGCAAAAUAAGCCACCAUGGAGCCAACAAAGAUUGCGAGUGCCAGCACUUUGAUAAAGAAGGCAAAGUUGUUUUGAUUAGGUCGCCGUCUAACCUUUUUUGGAACGGAUCACAAACAAAAAUCCCCACACCUGAGAAAGAAUGACAGCCAUGGCCAGGUUCUCGCUGUGCGCGGCCACAUAUCCCAACAUCAUGAUCCCUGGCAACCUCAGACUUCCACGACUCUCGCCAAGGUAGGUGAUCACUUCUGAGGUUCCGCCACAGUU
This is a long non-coding RNA of Nerophis lumbriciformis (worm pipefish), 400 nucleotides long. RefSeq lists it as uncharacterized. The record is from RefSeq and is a predicted model, not a curated record. NCBI's taxonomy places the organism in Eukaryota, Metazoa, Chordata, Actinopteri, Syngnathiformes, Syngnathidae.